GACGAACGCUGGCGGCGUGCCUAACACAUGCAAGUCGAGCGAUGAAGUUUCUUCGGAAACGGAUUAGCGGCGGACGGGUGAGUAACACGUGGGUAACCUGCCUUGUAGUGGGGGAUAGCCUUUCGAAAGGAAGAUUAAUACCGCAUAACAUGGAAAUCUCGCAUGAGGAUUUCAUCAAAGGAGCAAUCCGCUACAAGAUGGACCCGCGGCGCAUUAGCUAGUUGGUGAGGUAACGGCUCACCAAGGCGACGAUGCGUAGCCGACCUGAGAGGGUGAUCGGCCACAUUGGGACUGAGACACGGCCCAGACUCCUACGGGAGGCUG
RNAcentral lists this ribosomal RNA (324 nucleotides) under uncultured Bacillota bacterium. Its description in RNAcentral is "bacterial SSU rRNA". It matches the Rfam family "Bacterial small subunit ribosomal RNA", at positions 28 to 351 of the family's 1533-position model. Lineage: Bacteria; Bacillati; Bacillota. The record is from RNAcentral.